This 143-nucleotide ribosomal RNA is filed under the name uncultured bacterium. RNAcentral describes it as "partial 16S rRNA". It matches the Rfam family "Bacterial small subunit ribosomal RNA", at positions 353 to 511 of the family's 1533-position model. The record is from RNAcentral.
GUGGGGUAAUUUUCCGCAAUGGGCGAAAGCCUGACGGAGCAAUGCCGCGUGGAGGUGGAAGGCCUACGGGUCGUCAACUUCUUUUCUCGGAGAAGAAACAAUGACGGUAUCUGAGGAAUAAGCAUCGGCUAACUCUGUGCUAG